This 217-nucleotide ribosomal RNA is filed under the name uncultured bacterium. RNAcentral's name for it is "partial 16S ribosomal RNA". It matches the Rfam family "Bacterial small subunit ribosomal RNA", at positions 1284 to 1500 of the family's 1533-position model. The record is from RNAcentral.
CGUCUCAGUUCGGACUGUGGUCUGCAACCCGACCACACGAAGCUGGAAUCGCUAGUAAUCGUGAAUCAGAAUGUCACGGUGAAUACGUUCCCGGGUCUUGUACACACCGCCCGUCACACCAUGGGAGUCAGCAACGCCCGAAGUCAGUGACCUAACCGAGAGGGAGGAGCUGCCGAAGGCGGGGCCGGUAACUGGGGUGAAGUCGUAACAAGGUACC